This 694-nucleotide unclassified non-coding RNA is filed under the name Hevea brasiliensis (rubber tree). Lineage: Eukaryota; Viridiplantae; Streptophyta; Magnoliopsida; Malpighiales; Euphorbiaceae. The record is from RNAcentral.
GAAAUUGGGUCUGGCGUUCGGGUCCUCUUUCCAGCAAGAAGUCAGAAUCAUCGCAAGUUCAUCAGGAAGUCCAUCUGCGCUCGGCCUGGCAUUUUUGAAAGCGGCUGCGUAUGCUGCUUGCAAGUUGGACAUUCCUUCGAAGGGAAGUCGGUUGUGUAGGAGCUCCCACAGCACUAUUGCAAAACUAUAAACGUCUACUUUAUGGUUGUAGUGUUUCUUUUCUCCAUGUCUCAGUGUGACGGUGCUAUACAACUCGGGAGCCAUCCAUCGGUAUGUCCCUGUUUCGGCAGUCAUCAUCUCGGUCAGUGUCUCCUCCCUUGCCAAACCAAGGUCGACAAGUUUCACAGUUCGGUGGUCUGCGGUCAAAAGCAUGUUCUCGGGCUUCAGAUCACGAUGAAUGAUCCCAUGUGAAUGCAAACACUCCAUAGCCCGCGAAAUAUCCAGCGCAAACCCCACCGCCACCCGAGGAUCCAAGCUCUGCGGUCUCAGGUUAAGCAUGUACUUGCGCAGCGAUCCCCCGAGCAGCAGUUCGGUCACCACCACCAUGACAGGCUCCUUACAAGCCCCGAUGAACUUAACCAAAUUCUUAUGCUGCACCCUUGACAGCAUCGCCACCUCCCUCAAAAACCUCUCCUCCCUCUUCUCCACCUCCUCCGGGGUCUCCCCCCGGUGGACAACCUUGAUAGCGACAUUC